RNAcentral lists this long non-coding RNA (251 nucleotides) under Mytilus galloprovincialis (Mediterranean mussel). Lineage: Eukaryota; Metazoa; Mollusca; Bivalvia; Mytilida; Mytilidae. The record is from RNAcentral.
AGUUCUUAGUUGCACAAGCAGCAAAACACCCUUUAGGAAGAGUAGGCGUACCAGAAGAUGUGGCAUCAGCAAUUUCUUUCUUGGCUUCCGAUGAAGCGUCGUUCAUUUCUGGUCAGAUUUUAUAUGUUGAUGGCGCACGGCAUUGUAUAUCUGCUGGAGUAACAACAAGUGUUAAAUAAAACGUGUAAUUGUGUAUUAUAUUGACUGAUUUAUGUCAUUAAAUCUUCAUCAAUUUAAAAUAUGAAAGAGCA